This 307-nucleotide ribosomal RNA is filed under the name bacterium A5T_VP6_E6. RNAcentral's name for it is "partial 16S ribosomal RNA". It matches the Rfam family "Bacterial small subunit ribosomal RNA", at positions 337 to 655 of the family's 1533-position model. The record is from RNAcentral.
UACUACGGGAGGCAGCAGUGGGGAAUCUUGGACAAUGGGGGCAACCCUGAUCCACCCAUGCCGCGUGAGUGAUGAAGGCCUUAGGGUCGUAAAGCUCUUUCGCCUGUGAAGAUAAUGACGGUAGCAGGUAAAAAAACCCCGGCUAAUUCCGUGCCAGCAGCCGUGGUAAUACGGAGGGGGUUAGCGUUUUUCGAAAUUACGGGGCGUAAAGCGCACAUAGGCGGAAUCGAAAAGUUGGGGGGUGAAAAUCCCGGGGGUUCACCCCCCGGAACUUGCCUCCAAAAUUUAUCGUUUUAAUAUUUCCAGA